UCCAGCGCACUCACCUAUCCACUAAACAGCAACUUCAAUGUUGAAAGAUUUUAUUUGUGGCAGGCUUAUGCAAUGUAUGAUCAUAUAAUGUAACUAAACCCCCAUUAUUUUUGCCUAGAUUAGGUGUUUUAAAAAAAACAAACAAAUAAAAUCUUUCAACAUUGAAGUUGCUGUUUAGUGGAUAGGUGAGUGCGCUGGA
Molecule: non-coding RNA, 199 nt
Organism: Pelobates cultripes (western spadefoot toad)
Lineage: Eukaryota; Metazoa; Chordata; Amphibia; Anura; Pelobatidae
Source: the annotation of a GenBank genome assembly